Molecule: unclassified non-coding RNA, 213 nt
Filed under: plant metagenome
Description: partial contains small subunit ribosomal RNA, internal transcribed spacer 1, and 5.8S ribosomal RNA
Source: RNAcentral
UUUCCGUAGGUGAACCUGCGGAAGGAUCAUUCAUAAUAAGUGUUUUAUGGCACUUUUUUAAAUCCAUAUCCACCUUGUGUGCGAUGUCAGGGUUGAUUUUUCUCUCGAGAGGAUCAACCCCAAACAUCAACUAUAUCUCAACUCUUUGUCUGAAAAAUAUUAUGAAUAAAACAAUUCAAAAUACAACUUUCAACAACGGAUCUCUUGGCUCUC